This 412-nucleotide long non-coding RNA is filed under the name Carica papaya (papaya). Its description in RNAcentral is "long non-coding RNA (CPAP_LNC014989)". Lineage: Eukaryota; Viridiplantae; Streptophyta; Magnoliopsida; Brassicales; Caricaceae. The record is from RNAcentral.
AAGGAUUAUGAUUAUGAUUGUUAUUCAAUUCUGGAUUUUAUUCGAUAAAAUUUGCAUUUGCUUUAUUAAACUUGUAUGAAUAUGUGUUUGCAUACUCUGUUUUAAAUACUACUUUAUUCUUACUGAAUUUGUAAAGUUUACCCCAAUUCACAUCCCCAGUGCAGAUUAGUUCAGGUUAGGAGUAUGUUCAAGAUCAAAGGAAGACUCUGAGGAAUCUUUUAUCUAUUCUAGAUCUUUAUUGUAAAGUAGAUUUAGAUGUAUUAUUGUAAUAUAGUUUUGAAAGAUUUUAUGAGGCUCAUGGAUUGUGACUCCAUACAAGGGAUAGAUUGUUGAUUUAUAAAUAUUAGCAUAAUGUUGCACCAUAUUUAUCAGGUUUAUGUGUGGCAAUGCUCAUUUUUUAGCAAGAGAAUGC